Molecule: ribosomal RNA, 253 nt
Filed under: uncultured bacterium
Lineage: Bacteria
Description: partial 16S ribosomal RNA
Rfam family: Bacterial small subunit ribosomal RNA
Source: RNAcentral
UACGUAGGGUGCAAGCGUUAAUCGGAAUUACUGGGCGUAAAGCGUGCGCAGGCGGUUUCAUAAGACGGAUGUGAAAGCCCCGGGCUUAACCUGGGAACUGCAUUUGUGACUGUGAGGCUAGAGUACAGCAGAGGGGGGUAGAAUUCCACGUGUAGCAGUGAAACGCGUAGAGAUGUGGAGGAAUACCAAUGGCGAAGGCAACCCCCUGGGCUGAUACUGACGCUCAUGCACGAAAGCGUGGGGAGCAAACAGG